CCACUACCAGCACCAGCACCAGCGCCAACAGCAGCACCGACAGCAGCAACAGAGCCAACGUCAACUGGUGUGUUUCAGUGGCCUUAUGCUGCUCCAUCGACGAGCAUAACUGGCAGUGACUAUUGGAGCGGCAUUGUUUUUGGACGUCAGUGGUGCUUCUGCGGAUGGCGGAUGACGCGCGUGAAAUGACGAAGUGCGAAUGGUAGUACGAAAAACGGAGGACGAAAAUGUAGCGUCAGAAUUUGUUGCAUUCGCAGCGGUUUGUUGUGUUGUGGUGUUUUUUUGUAGUGCGAUUUUGUUUUUUUUUUACAUACUUACUUAUUUAGUUCAUUUUCGUUUUGUUUACGAGUUUCAAGUCUAUAGGCUGCUGGCGCGACGCGUAGGUAGACUUACAUACAUACAUACAUGUGUAAGUGUAAUUUGCGUAAAUGGGCGUGUAGCUGUAGUUGUUCUUGUUGCUGUUGUGAAUGAGUGAUUUGUGUAGUAAAUUUUUACAGCGUCUGAUUUGUAACAACGGCAGAGUGCAAAAGCAAAAAGAGAAAAAAAAAACAAAAACAAAAAGUCGCAGAGCAACUGAGUAAAAAACAAAAGUUAAAAAAUAACAGUGAAUGAGAGCACGCAACAAUACACUAACAACAACUGCAUAUGAACUCUGCAGGAUUCCUAUUUAUGCUUGCUUCUCUUUUGUUUUGUUAUGCUGCAUUUAAUUAGCUUGGCAGCAGAAACAAUUUAGCAACAACAAAGGCGAAGUAAACUAAAAGCAGCGAGGACAGACAGAUAGACCAACAACAAGUCAAACUAAAAAUGUUGUUUAUGCAAAAAAAAAGUUGAAUUGAAAAAGUUCAGCAGCUAAAGAGAGUUCGACCCACUGUCUACGCCGAGGGCACAAUUAAACCAGUUGUACAACAAGUUACUUUUAGGUGAAGGAAAAAGUUCAAAAAAGGCACAACAUUCGCUAGCGACUAAAAACCAACAAGAAGAACGCUACAAUAACAACACAACCGCACAAAAAAAAAACACGUUGGUUGGUUGGCUAAACCAGCGAUCGAAAAACAAAAGUCGAAAUUAAGCGAAACAAUAAAAUGUCUAACAACUAAAUGAAGAAAGAAAAAAGAAAAGAUAAAUUUUAAACUUACUCUAAGCCAAGGCAAGGCAAGUCAUAAGCAGAAAGAAGCCAAAAAGCUAAAAAAUAAUUGCAAGUGCAUAAAUGGCAAAAGUAAUUGCUGGCGAGUGGACAAAAGAUAUGCUGUGGAGGGGAAUGUUUAGUUAGUAAGGCGACGGCCAAGGAAUGGCCGGGGCGGGACGGCUAGUAGAAGAGUGCAAGUUAACAGUGAACGCUUAUGUGGACUUGCGACUAUAAGCUUUGGGGCUGUGUAGAUUUUGUGGUUGCUGUGGCGCAGCGUAGCAGAGGAGCGGAGCCAAAGCUGAGACAACAAACUGGUUUUCCAAGUGGCUUAACAACUUGAACUGACAAACGCGCAAAAAAAACAAUAAACAAAAGCAGCAAUAAUCAUAAUAAUAGUGGCGCAAACUAAGCACCGAGUUAGUACAAGAAGCAAAAACAACAACAAAAACAACAACAAAAAUGUCGAAAAACAUGAAUUACAUGAAAUGUAAAUGAGCGAGGCAGCCAGAAAACUACAUACAUACAUAUACAUAAAUAGUAGAUGGGAGUGUUGUGAGAACAACAACAAAAACAAAAGCAAAGAGCUAUACAAGCUAUACAGCUAUACAGCUAUACAACUGCAAUAAACAACAACCGCAAGCGCAGCUCAAUGGCGGCAGCACACCAAUCUCAAGCCCCAUUGAGGCCGGCCGCAAUUCAAAAGCCCAAACAAACACACAUCCAAAAGUCAGUUAGUAAGUCAUCGAGCGAGUUAGCGUGCGGGCGCGUACAAAUGACGCGGCGGCGUAACAACUGAAGUUUGUCAGCUUGGGGGCAUACACUGAGGCACUGGUUUUACGAAUCGCUGCGUUCUGUGGCCCGCUUUUUUGUCGAAGCAGCGGCGUUGGAGUGUCCCACGCAGAAUCU
Molecule: long non-coding RNA, 2032 nt
Filed under: Rhagoletis pomonella (apple maggot)
Lineage: Eukaryota; Metazoa; Arthropoda; Insecta; Diptera; Tephritidae
Description: uncharacterized LOC118739136
Source: RNAcentral